GCCUUGCUCGUAUAGUGGUUAGUACUCUGCAUUGUGGCCGCAGCAACCCCGAUUCGAAUCCGGGUCAUGGCA
This 72-nucleotide transfer RNA is filed under the name Pangasianodon gigas (Mekong giant catfish). Its description in RNAcentral is "tRNA-His". It matches the Rfam family "tRNA". From Rfam's summary of the family: Transfer RNA (tRNA) molecules are approximately 80 nucleotides in length. Their secondary structure includes four short double-helical elements and three loops (D, anti-codon, and T loops). The record is from RNAcentral. Lineage: Eukaryota; Metazoa; Chordata; Actinopteri; Siluriformes; Pangasiidae.